GACGAGCUCUCCAAACGUUAUUCGGUAUUACUGGGCUUAAAGAGUUCGUAGGCGGUCUUGUAGGUGAGGUGUGAAAGCCCUCGGCUUAACCGAGGAAUUGCGCUUCAAACCGCAGGGCUAGAGGAAGGUAGGGGUAUGCGGAACAGAUGGUGGAGCGGUGAAAUGCGUUGAUAUCAUCUGGAACACCGGUGGCGAAAGCGGCAUACUGGACCUUUUCUGACGCUGAGGAACGAAAGCUAGGGUAGCGAACGGGAUUAGAUACCCCGGUAGUCCUAGCCGUAAACGAUGAGCACUAGUCUGUAGGGACCCUCACAUCCUUUCGGACGUAGCGAAAGUGUUAAGUGCUCCGCCUGGGGAGUAUGGUCGCAAGGCUGAA
Molecule: ribosomal RNA, 376 nt
Filed under: uncultured bacterium
Lineage: Bacteria
Description: bacterial SSU rRNA
Rfam family: Bacterial small subunit ribosomal RNA
Source: RNAcentral